This 246-nucleotide ribosomal RNA is filed under the name Ochrobactrum sp. R-26894. Its description in RNAcentral is "16S ribosomal RNA". It matches the Rfam family "Bacterial small subunit ribosomal RNA", at positions 8 to 284 of the family's 1533-position model. The record is from RNAcentral. Lineage: Bacteria; Pseudomonadati; Pseudomonadota; Alphaproteobacteria; Hyphomicrobiales; Brucellaceae.
AGAGUUUGAUCCUGGCUCAGAACGAACGCUGGCGGCAGGCUUAACACAUGCAAGUCGAGCGCCCCGCAAGGGGAGCGGCAGACGGGUGAGUAACGCGUGGGAACGUACCUUUUGCUACGGAAUAACUCAGGGAAACUUGUGCUAAUACCGUAUGUGCCCUUCGGGGGAAAGAUUUAUCGGCAAAGGAUCGGCCCGCGUUGGAUUAGCUAGUUGGUGAGGUAAAGGCUCACCAAGGCGACGAUCCAU